This 367-nucleotide unclassified non-coding RNA is filed under the name uncultured fungus. Its description in RNAcentral is "partial contains small subunit ribosomal RNA, internal transcribed spacer 1, and 5.8S ribosomal RNA". The stretch from base 1 to 73 matches the Rfam family "Eukaryotic small subunit ribosomal RNA", at positions 1759 to 1831 of the family's 1831-position model. The record is from RNAcentral. Lineage: Eukaryota; Fungi.
UCAAACUUGGUCAUUUAGAGGAAGUAAAAGUCGUAACAAGGUUUCCGUAGGUGAACCUGCGGAAGGAUCAUUAUUGAAAUAAACUUGAUGAUGGAUUGUUGCUGGCUCUACUAGAGUAUGUGCACAUCUGUCAUUUUUAUCUUUCCUCCAUGUGCACAAUGCAUAGACCUGAAUUUUUUGUUGAUCGAAGUUUUAUUCGGUCUUUGGAAACUGCUGUUACAAGCUGUUUCUGUAUUCAGGUUCUGUGAAUUUUAUAUAUACUCCAACGUAUGUUAAUGAACGUCAAAAGGGCUUGUAAAGCUCAUAAAUCUAUAAUACAACUUUCAGCAACGGAUCUCUUGGCUCUCGCAUCGAUGAAGAACGCAGC